This 403-nucleotide ribosomal RNA is filed under the name Fusobacteriota bacterium. Its description in RNAcentral is "Fusobacteria bacterium partial 16S ribosomal RNA". It matches the Rfam family "Bacterial small subunit ribosomal RNA", at positions 355 to 776 of the family's 1533-position model. The record is from RNAcentral. Lineage: Bacteria; Fusobacteriati; Fusobacteriota.
UGGGGAAUAUUGCACAAUGGAGGGAACUCUGAUGCAGCGACGCCGCGUGAACGAAGAAGGCUUUCGAGUCGUAAAGUUCUUUUAUAUGGGAAGAUAAUGACGGUACCAUAAGAAAAAGCCCCGGCUAACUACGUGCCAGCAGCCGCGGUAAUACGUAGGGGGCUAGCGUUGUCCGGAAUCACUGGGCGUAAAGGGUUCGCAGGCGGAAAUGCAAGUCAGGUGUAAAAGGCAGUAGCUUAACUACUGUAAGCAUUUGAAACUGCAUAUCUUGAGAAGAGUAGAGGUAAGUGGAAUUUUUAGUGUAGCGGUGAACUGCGUAGAUAUUAAAAAGAAUACCGGUGGCGAAGGCGACUUACUGGGCUCAUUCUGACGCUGAGGAACGAAAGCGUGGGUAGCAAACAGG